This 210-nucleotide unclassified non-coding RNA is filed under the name Hevea brasiliensis (rubber tree). The record is from RNAcentral. Lineage: Eukaryota; Viridiplantae; Streptophyta; Magnoliopsida; Malpighiales; Euphorbiaceae.
GUGGCAUUUCAGAAAACCUUCUCUUCCCACUUGCAGAAGUUACAGGAGGUGUGUAAGAACCCAAAGCAGAAGCAUCUGUUCUGAACGAACUUGUAGUAGAGGGAGUGGGAGUAUCAGCAGUCAUCGAGGGAGUUGAAUUGCGAGCACCAUCUAUUACAGUUGAAGAAGAGACCACAGUGGAGGAUGUUGAAUACAAACUAUCUGAUUUCA